AAGAUUCAGAGGUUGGUUACCCCGCUGACCCUGCAAAGGAAGCGAGGAAGAAUUGCUGAGAAGAAGAAGAGAAUUGCGAAGGCCAAGUCUGAGGCUGCUGAGUAUCAGAAGCUCCUGGCCUCUAGGUUGAAGGAGCAAAGAGAACGUCGCAGUGAGAGUUUGGCCAAGAAGAGGUCUAGGCUCUCCGCUGCCUCAAAGCCAUCCAUUGCUGCUUAGUUCUUUCGAAUUAUUUAUGUCUCAGCGUUCUGUUAUCUUCAUAUUUUCCAUCUUGUUUUGCUUUUAAAAGAAUGUACUUUUUGCGGCUGCUUGCAUAUGACAUCUAGAAUGUUUUGGUAUUUUUGGUUCCUAAUUGACCAGUCAUUUCUUGACAUUACUAAAUAUUUUAUGAUAGUUGAGAGGAAUUUUGAAGGACCUUGGUGAGCUGCCUGCACAAUUAACUUGCUUUUCAAUU
This 451-nucleotide unclassified non-coding RNA is filed under the name Hevea brasiliensis (rubber tree). Lineage: Eukaryota; Viridiplantae; Streptophyta; Magnoliopsida; Malpighiales; Euphorbiaceae. The record is from RNAcentral.